RNAcentral lists this long non-coding RNA (967 nucleotides) under Chloebia gouldiae (Gouldian finch). Its description in RNAcentral is "Erythrura gouldiae (Gouldian finch) lncRNA (ENSEGOG00005016577.1)". Lineage: Eukaryota; Metazoa; Chordata; Aves; Passeriformes; Passeridae. The record is from RNAcentral.
CCCCGUCAGUCAGGGGCGGGGGCGGGGCGGGGCUGGCGGGCCGUUUGAACGGCGCUGCCGCCGCUGGCGCGGUUCGGGGCGGGCUCCGGGCGGCUCGGCUCGGCUCGGCUCGGCCCGGCCCGGCCCGGCCCGGCCCGGCCGAGGAGCUCCCGCCCGGCCUCCCUCCUCUCCAGAGCGGCCGGGGGCCAAGCGAGGCUCCCUCGGCGGCCGCCGUGUCCCUGCCGGGACGGGCCGCGCGGCUCCCGCUGGCUGCUCCGUUGCCGUCCCGGCAGAGACUUUGCGCUGCGGGGUCCUGGAGCAGCUGCCGCACGACGGAGCAGUGCCCUUCCCUGGCUCAGCACCCAGUGCCAACAGAACACCUUGCAGGAUCCUCAGCAGCGCAGACAACACUCCAAGAUGCCGGCCUCGGCUUGGAACGGAGCGGUGUCAUGGCGGAGACGACGGCCUUUGUCUCGCAGGGUGUGAAAGCAUCCGUUGUGCUGGCUCCACUGCGGCAGAAUGAUGUCUAAAGGGGGGACAAGUGCUGGAAGUCCGAGUGGUGCGGUGCUGGCGGGGGAGUCCCAUCCCCAUGGCGUGCGUCCGAGGAAGGGCUGGCGGCGGAGGAGCCUGGUGCCAGGCGAGGACGGCUUCACAGGAGCACUCAUCCUGGCCAAGGCUGGGAGGAGAGCCACAGCCAUCAGAGAGAACUGGGUUACAGCAGACAUUACAUCCUCGGGGGCUCGCCUGCCUUGUGCGAGUGUGGUGCCAAUGCCCCUGCAGUGCCACAGGGCUGGCUGUGGCUUCCUUCAGCUGGAUGCUCAAGAGCAGAGGAUCUAUCAACUGCAGACCAAGCGGAGGGAGAGGCAGGCAGACCUGGAGCAGAAAUGAAGCCAGAGAAGCAGCUCAGCCAGGACCUGGGGGCCAGCCACCAGCUACGGAAAGGAGCUUGGAGCAGCUUGUUCCAGGAGAAGACAGUGCAAUUUGGUGA